Molecule: long non-coding RNA, 272 nt
Filed under: Panax ginseng (ginseng)
Lineage: Eukaryota; Viridiplantae; Streptophyta; Magnoliopsida; Apiales; Araliaceae
Description: long non-coding RNA (PGIN_LNC008349)
Source: RNAcentral
UAAACUGCAAGAGCUAAGUAAAAAAUGGUACAACAUUAAGCAUUCUCGGAAUUAUAAGAGAUGUCAAGGUUAAGUCACCCUACGAUUUCCACAUAAAAGCUACGGCUAAGUAAUAUAAAGUUUAUAAAGGUCAACGUUAGAAUUGUAGAGGGUAUUUUUCUGAUGAGUGAGAAUGUCUAAACAAAGAAGACUGACAUUCGAACGUUGUGAAUUGAGGAUCUUGAUAUACUCUCCAAACAUCCUUGAUGUAAAUCGAGGAAAUAAAAGAAAAG